RNAcentral lists this ribosomal RNA (259 nucleotides) under Bacillus cereus. RNAcentral's name for it is "partial 16S ribosomal RNA". It matches the Rfam family "Bacterial small subunit ribosomal RNA", at positions 557 to 816 of the family's 1533-position model. The record is from RNAcentral. Lineage: Bacteria; Bacillati; Bacillota; Bacilli; Caryophanales; Bacillaceae.
GGCGUAAGCGCGCGCAGGUGGUUUCUUAAGUCUGAUGUGAAAGCCCACGGCUCAACCGUGGAGGGUCAUUGGAAACUGGGAGACUUGAGUGCAGCAUUAAAAAGUGGAAUUCCAUGUGUAGCGGUGAAAUGCGUAGAGAUAUGGAGGAACACCAGUGGCGAAGGCGACUUUCCCGACAGUAACUGACACUGAGGCGCGAAAGCGUGGGGAGGAAACAGGAUUAGAUACCCUGGUAGUCCACGCCGUAUACGAUGAGUGC